GUUGGUGAACCAGCGGAGGGAUCAUUACAAGAGUAGCCCUAGGCUCUCCAACCCACUGUGAACAUACCUACGUUCCCCCGGCGGGCUCAGCGCGCGGUGCCUCCGGGCGCCGGGCGUCCGCCGAGGGCCCCCAAACUCGAAUUUAUUACGUGUAUAUCUGAGGGGCGAAAGCCUGUAAAAAUAAAUCAAAACUUUCAACAACGGAUCUCUUGGCUCUG
This 218-nucleotide unclassified non-coding RNA is filed under the name rhizosphere metagenome. RNAcentral describes it as "partial ribosomal RNA internal transcribed spacer region". The record is from RNAcentral.